AACAAUGGGAGUCUAAGUCCUAAAGCACAUAGUUCAGUUUGAUUUAUUAUACUCUUUCCAAAAGAUUAGUUGGUUAGACUCUCUCGUUUGAUUUAUAAUAUUGGUGCUUUUAUUGAAAGUCCCAUACAUGAGGUCGUGACUUGGAGUGAUGGCAUGUGUGCUAGUAAUGAUGGCCUGGACACAAGAGGGGUGUCAGUCAUGACCAACUAUGCCCAGCCGUGAUCAACGAAAAUCGAUCUACACAUGGACCAGCGACUUGGAGUAAUGGCGUCUUGUGUGCUAGGAGUGGUGGCCUGGAUCUGAGAGGGGUACCAGCCGUGACCAACAAGCAUGAGACCAAUUGGCCAUCAGCCAGCAGACAAGGGCAAGGGCAUAGCCCCAUCUCAAGACUCCUACGCUCAGACUCUACUAGGUAAUGUUAAUUUCAGACCACAAGACUCUGCAAAAAUGAUGGAAAGAAUUUAUUUUGGCCAGGUUAAUUUAAUCUCAUAUCCAUCAUGUAAUUUAUCAUUUAGAGUUAAACCAGAUUGUGCUUUAGAUAAGCCUCAGAGAUGUAUAGUAGACAAUCUAUGAAUAACAUAUAAUAAAAGAGAUACUAAAUAUUUUGUAGCUGUAACUAAUGCUUUAUGUCAAUAUUUUUCAGACAAAAAUAGAGAAAACAGAUUUAAAUAUUACGUAGUUAUACAUGAAAAAACUAAUGGAGUUUUUCAAACGUGGGUUGAAGUAGUAGACUCAAUAAAUAGGGUUAAAAACCCAUUUUCAAAGAUUUUAGUAAUUUUACUGAAGCUUUGAAUUACGCUAGAGGAUACCUUGGGCCUAAUUGCUAUAUAUCUCCAGCCCUCAAAUAAAAUCCAAACCAAAUAUCCCAAUACACGAUCCAAAAAUAUACAGGUAAAAUAAUUUUUGGUGAUAACUGUUCUACAAUGACUGAGGCCUUCAAAAGACUCAAUGCCCAAAAAGAAGUCCUUCUUCUUAAAAAUGCUAAACUUAUGGAGGAGGUGCAAAUAUUGAAGGAUAAGAUUAUUGGUGCUUCUCAGACUAAUGCAACCACCCAGACUUUGAGUUUUCCAUCUCAAAACAGAGUAGAUGAGAUGGGUGUGCAUUCCCCACUGAAUGCUAAGAAAUCCACUGUAUCGGAGGUAGAUACAGUUAAUCUGAUUGAAACGGUAGCCGGUAAAGACUUAUCAAAUCCGUUAAUGGCUGUCACUUUGCCAAAAAGUGAAGAUGAAGGUUGCUCUUGAUCAAGAGACCACCCAAAACUUGUACUCAGAAAGAUACCUCUAAAAAGACUUUGAAUUCAAAGAAGAAAAAAAUGACAAAAUUGAAGCUAUAAUAAAACAGACUUUAGAAAAAAUUUUCAAUAAUCAAGGACAAGACAAACAUGUUGUUAGCAAAGAAAGUCCAAGUAUGAAUACAGACAGAAUAGUCCCAAAUAUAGAUAAUCAGAACAACCCAGAUAAUAACAAUCCAAGUUCAGAAGAUGAAUUCCAUUGAAGUUUUGCUUAUCUCCAACAUGCACAAGAUCCUAAUGAAGAUGAUGAUUCAGGCAUGAGCUUCGACUCUGUUGCACUUCACAACUUGGAUGCCUAAUCAGACGGAGACAAACAAAUGAUAAAGAAGAUGGAUACAUAGUAAAAUAAGAAUCUAGUAUUAUGUAUGUAGGAUGUCACAUUAUGAUAAGGUGAGUCAUGUGGGUAUGCCCAUAUUAGUUAUGUAAAGUGCUUCCUUUAUCACUACCCUCCAAAAGAGGAAAAAACUGUUGAAGUACGCGUCUGUCAAAAGAAAAAUAAUACAUGUGACGAUGGGCCCAAUGUGUACCCAACUUGCAUUAUUAAGGAAUCUUAUUUUUUAG
This is a long non-coding RNA of Capsicum annuum, 1852 nucleotides long. RefSeq lists it as uncharacterized. The transcript has 2 exons. The record is from RefSeq and is a predicted model, not a curated record. NCBI's taxonomy places the organism in Eukaryota, Viridiplantae, Streptophyta, Magnoliopsida, Solanales, Solanaceae.